This 164-nucleotide unclassified non-coding RNA is filed under the name soil metagenome. RNAcentral's name for it is "partial internal transcribed spacer 1". The record is from RNAcentral.
GCGAGUAAGACCCUGCCCUAGUGGCUUGGUCAGUCCCAUCAUAUACACCUUUAUUCGUGAACUCGUGGUUCAGCUGGAUGAUGAAAGCUUCGGCGACUAGACGUCCAUCGGUUCCGCUCUUAUACCCUUUAUGUGAAGUCAAUGGAAAUUAUGAUAAUCUAAUA